GCCAUGCAACAAGUGGUGAAAAAACUUAAAAUCUCCCGUACUUAGUACGUGCCGGUUCAAGUCCGGCCCCGGGCACCA
This 78-nucleotide transfer RNA is filed under the name Bacterioplanoides sp. SCSIO 12839. RNAcentral's name for it is "tRNA-Leu". The record is from RNAcentral. Lineage: Bacteria; Pseudomonadati; Pseudomonadota; Gammaproteobacteria; Oceanospirillales; Oceanospirillaceae.